CUACGGGUCGCUGCAGUGGGGAAUUUUGCGCAAUGGGGGAAACCCUGACGCAGCAAUACCGCGUGAGUGAAGAAGGCCUUUGGGUCGUAAAGCUCUUUUCUUGGGGAAGAUAGUGACGGUACCCAGGGAAUAAGCACCGGCUAACUCCGUGCCAGCAGCCGCGGUAAUACGGAGGGUGCAAGCGUUGUUCGGAUUUACUGGGCGUAAAGGGCACGUAGGCGGCACAGCAAGUUAAGGGUGAAAUCCCGGGGCUCAACUCCGGAACUGCUCUUAAAACUGCUGAGCUAGAGAUAGUCAGAGGCGGGUGGAAUUCCAGGUGUAGAGGUGAAAUUCGUAGAUAUCUGGAGGAACACCGGUGGCGAAGGCGGCCCGCUGGGGCUAUUCUGACGCUAAGGUGCGAAAGCGUGGGGAGCAAACGGGAUUAGAUACCCGUGUAGUC
Molecule: ribosomal RNA, 439 nt
Filed under: uncultured bacterium
Lineage: Bacteria
Description: partial 16S ribosomal RNA
Rfam family: Bacterial small subunit ribosomal RNA
Source: RNAcentral